Molecule: ribosomal RNA, 350 nt
Filed under: Calanus finmarchicus
Lineage: Eukaryota; Metazoa; Arthropoda; Copepoda; Calanoida; Calanidae
Description: partial 16S large subunit ribosomal RNA
Rfam family: Bacterial large subunit ribosomal RNA (bases 73-350)
Source: RNAcentral
UUAGUUUCUUAAUUGGGAAAUAGGAUGAAUGGCUUCACUAAAAUAUAGUUUUUAUCCUCAUUUGCGAAAUUUUAAUCUAAGUGAAAAUACUUAGCAGUUGUACUAGGACGAGAAGACCCUAUGAAGCUGGCAAACUAUUAAUACAUAUUCCUAUUAUUUAUUAGUUUAUUUUUUGGGGUAAAAUUUAAUAAUACUAUUAACACAAUUGUACUAAAUUACAUCCUUUAGGAAUUAUGAAGAAGCUCCUCUAGGGAUAACAGCAUUAUGCUUAAAAGAGUUCUUAUCAGAAUAAGCGUUUGUGACCUCGAUGUUGAAUUAAAUGCUCUUUUAUGUGCAGGAGCUUAGAAGAG